AUUGAACGCUGGCGGAAUGCUUUACACAUGCAAGUCGAACGGCAGCACGGUCUUCGGUCUGGUGGCGAGUGGCGCACGGGUGAGUAAUGUAUCGGAACGUGCCCAGUCGUGGGGGAUAACGUAGUGAAAAUUACGCUAAUACCGCAUACGAUCUAUGGAUGAAAGCGGGGGAUCGCAAGCCCUCGCGCGAUUGGAGCGGCCGAUAUCAGAUUAGGUAGUUGGUGGGGUAAAGGCCCACCAAGCCAACGAUCUGUAGCUGGUCUGAGAGGACGACCAGCCACACUGGAACUGAGACACGGUCCAGACUCCUACGGGAGGCAGCAGUGGGGAAUUUUGGACAAUGGGCGAAAGCCUGAUCCAGCCAUUCCGCGUGCAGGAUGAAGGCCCUCGGGUUGUAAACUGCUUUUGUACAGAACGAAAAGGUUUCUACUAAUACUAGGAGCUCAUGACGGUACUGUAAGAAUAAGCACCGGCUAACUACGUGCCAGCCGCCGCCGUAA
Molecule: ribosomal RNA, 500 nt
Filed under: uncultured bacterium
Lineage: Bacteria
Description: partial 16S ribosomal RNA
Rfam family: Bacterial small subunit ribosomal RNA
Source: RNAcentral